RNAcentral lists this ribosomal RNA (222 nucleotides) under uncultured bacterium. RNAcentral's name for it is "partial 16S ribosomal RNA". It matches the Rfam family "Bacterial small subunit ribosomal RNA", at positions 326 to 538 of the family's 1533-position model. The record is from RNAcentral.
ACGCUCGACACCUACGGGAAGCAGCAGUAGGGAAUCUUCCACAAUGGGCGCAAGCCUGAUGGAGCAACACCGCGUGAGUGAAGAAGGGUUUCGGCUCGUAAAGCUCUGUUGUUGGAGAAGAACGUGCGUGAGAGUAACUGUUCACGCAGUGACGGUAUCCAACCAGAAAGUCACGGCUAACUACGUGCCGANCNCGCCGGAGUAUCNGNGGCGGNGNGAGAG